UGCCAAGAUGUGGGGUCCUUAGUUACC
RNAcentral lists this non-coding RNA (27 nucleotides) under Mus musculus (house mouse). Lineage: Eukaryota; Metazoa; Chordata; Mammalia; Rodentia; Muridae. The record is from RNAcentral.